Molecule: regulatory RNA element, 183 nt
Rfam family: Lysine riboswitch aptamer
About the family: Riboswitches are metabolite binding domains within certain messenger RNAs that serve as precision sensors for their corresponding targets.
Source: Rfam
AUAAUCAUUAGAGGUCGCAACCAACAAGAGUAGUCAGUGAAGUUCCUGUUUGAACGUUGAAGCUGAUGAAAGGGGCGGUUGCCGAAGCACCAAGGUAUACAGGCCUUGGCACGCUGGGACUUAGCUUAACAGGCUUUGGACUGUCGCAGUUGAAAACGUCGACUGCGGGGCGCUAACGACGAC